RNAcentral lists this ribosomal RNA (400 nucleotides) under Enterobacter kobei. Its description in RNAcentral is "bacterial SSU rRNA". It matches the Rfam family "Bacterial small subunit ribosomal RNA", at positions 49 to 447 of the family's 1533-position model. The record is from RNAcentral. Lineage: Bacteria; Pseudomonadati; Pseudomonadota; Gammaproteobacteria; Enterobacterales; Enterobacteriaceae.
UAACACAUGCAAGUCGAACGGUAGCACAGAGAGCUUGCUCUCGGGUGACGAGUGGCGGACGGGUGAGUAAUGUCUGGGAAACUGCCUGAUGGAGGGGGAUAACUACUGGAAACGGUAGCUAAUACCGCAUAACGUCGCAAGACCAAAGAGGGGGACCUUCGGGCCUCUUGCCAUCAGAUGUGCCCAGAUGGGAUUAGCUAGUAGGUGGGGUAACGGCUCACCUAGGCGACGAUCCCUAGCUGGUCUGAGAGGAUGACCAGCCACACUGGAACUGAGACACGGUCCAGACUCCUACGGGAGGCAGCAGUGGGGAAUAUUGCACAAUGGGCGCAAGCCUGAUGCAGCCAUGCCGCGUGUAUGAAGAAGGCCUUCGGGUUGUAAAGUACUUUCAGCGGGGAGG